UAGGGUCCUGAGAGGAGUUCCCCCAACUGGUAUUGAGCACGGACCAGAUUCUUCGGGAGGCAGCAGUGAGGAAUAUUGGACAAUGGGCGCAAGCCUGAUCCAGCCAUGCCGCGUGCAGGAUGACGGUCCUAUGGAUUGUAAACUGCUUUUAUACGAGAAGAAACACUGCUUCGUGAAGCAGCUUGACGGUAUCGUAAGAAUAAGGAUCGGCUAACUCCGUGCCAGCAGCCGCGGUAAUACGGAGGAUCCAAGCGUUAUCCGGAAUCAUUGGGUUUAAAGGGUCCGUAGGCGGUUUAAUAAGUCAGUGGUGAAAGCCCAUCGCUCAACGGUGGAACGGCCAUUGAUACUGUUAAACUUGAAUUAUUAGGAAGUAACUAGAAUAUGUAGUGUAGCGGUGAAAUGCUUAGAGAUUACAUGGAAUACCAAUUGCGAAGGCAGGUUACUACUAAUGGAUUGACGCUGAUGGACGAAAGCGUGGGUAGCGAACAGGAUUAGAUACCCUGGUAGUCCACGCCGUAAACGAUGGAUACUAGCUGUUGGAAGCAAUUUCAGUGGCUAAGCGAAAGUGAUAAGUAUCCCACCUGGGGAGUACGUUCGCAAGAAUGAAACUCAAAGGAAUUGACGGGGGCCCGCACAAGCGGUGGAGCAUGUGGUUUAAUUCGAUGAUACGCGAGGAACCUUACCAAGGCUUAAAUGUAGUUUGACCGGUUUGGAAACAGAUCUUUCGCAAGACAAAUUACAAGGUGCUGCAUGGUUGUCGUCAGCUCGUGCCGUGAGGUG
This 780-nucleotide ribosomal RNA is filed under the name Flavobacterium sp. 4cultural_13. Its description in RNAcentral is "bacterial SSU rRNA". It matches the Rfam family "Bacterial small subunit ribosomal RNA", at positions 284 to 1074 of the family's 1533-position model. The record is from RNAcentral. Lineage: Bacteria; Pseudomonadati; Bacteroidota; Flavobacteriia; Flavobacteriales; Flavobacteriaceae.